Oryza sativa Japonica Group (Japanese rice) is the source of this 1619-nucleotide non-coding RNA. Lineage: Eukaryota; Viridiplantae; Streptophyta; Magnoliopsida; Poales; Poaceae. The record is from RefSeq and is a predicted model, not a curated record.
AAAAAAAACAACCUGCCGCCCGCGCCGUGCAACCUGGAGGAUCGAGGCGGGUUGUUCUGGUCGAUUUCGGCCACGACGGGGGCUGGGCAGUUCCAGGAGGCGCUUCGCAUGACGGGCUCGGCAGGGGGCAGCGCACUCCGAGUCCACGGCGUCACCACCAUGAGCAGGAACCCCGACGGCUGUCCUCCAUGGCUCAUACGACUGCACCGUCCGGCCUCCAACACAACGGCUGUCCUCCUAGAGUCCCGGUGAACGCAGAUCGACCUCAUGGGUGACUUACAGGAGCUUCCCGGACCUACGGCAACAGUGAUCGAGGAACUCUGCUGCUCGAAAUUAGGAGGAACUGCAGGUUGGGCCUGAACUAAAUUUUUUGAGAAACCUUUUCUGUUCUACAGAUGGGAUUCUAGAAUCCAUUGCUUACAUGAUAAUGAAGGUUUGGUGAUUACCUGAAAUUUGGAAGCAGUAUUGAUUUUCUACUAGAAGAUUGAAAGGAGGUACAUGCCAGAUCCACUAUUCAUUGCGGUGCUAUUGUUAAUUUAUAGGUUCAAAUUAUUCAAGCUGUUGGUCUGAAUUUAUUCCCAUACAUCAGUUCAAGCUGUUGUGGAUCCUAAGAACCAAGCUGGAUUUAUUGGACAACAUCCUAUUACGAGGUUUGAGUUGUACUUGCUCUGGAUUUGUUUCUGUAAAACUUAAAUGACACUGUACAUUUUUGUAGAAACUAUGAUGUUGAAAUUCAGAUUUCUUUACAAAUGACCAUUAAGUUCUGAGCUCUUUCUCUUACUCUAAAGCUGCAUGUACUAGCUAAAAUCAUGACAUUAGACAUCAAGUAUAGAAAUUGUUUGGUUUUUAUUCCAGUACAUGGCGUCAUACUUUGAACAGUUCUUUCAUUUAUCUAUAACAUCCUGGAUGAAGAAUUUUAUAGAGUUGAUUAGAUACCUUUUUAUGCCACUUAUUGUAAAUUGAUAAGUCGUGUUAGAUUUAAAGAUUGUCAAGACUGACAUCCCAAUCACCAGAAGAUUGAUUGAAUUUAACUGUGGUUCUAUGAAAUUUGAUGUUAUGAUUAUUUCAGAUAUUAUUGUGAUUCUCUGCAAGAUUUUGUUGUUUUAGUCACAACCUAUCUAAAUUUUAUUUCUUCUACAUUUGUUCAUGAUCUUUCGUUGAACUGUGAUGCCCAUGAAUUUUGUUUUAGAUCGCAAGAGAUUCAGGUAGACUCUACGGGUGAUUGCUAAGCACCAAGUAAAGAAUUAAUACAAAGGAAAUUGUUAAGUCUGUCUUCUGUACUGCUAGAAGUUACAGGUGACGUACACGAUUGUUUGUAGAAGAGGAAACUGAGGAAGGCUUCUAUGCAUAACGUGUCCAUACCUUACUCAAUUGUUUGGUGUCCAUCAAAGAAAUGUGCCAGCACGGAAGUCAGUAGAUUUCUAGGCUUGCAUAUGUAGUAACGACAAUCAUGUAUUUAGGUGCACUCGUCUAUUAUUAUGCACUCAUGAAAUUUGGUUUGCUGGGGUGUAACCUCUGAUCUCUCUUUACUUUUGAGCUUAAUAUAUAAGUUGAAUUAGAGUUAUUGUAAAGGAAACUUUACAUGUAAAUUGCAUAUAUGAUAAAAGAUAUUUGAUUAA